GUCGAGAAUCUUUCACAAUGGGGGCAACCCUGAUGGAGCGACGCCGCGUGGAGGAUAAGGUCUUCGGAUUGUAAACUCCUGUCAUGCGUGAACAAGGUUGCUUGGUUAAUACCUGGGCAAAUUGAUGGUAACGCAAGAGGAAGAGACGGCUAACUCUGUGCCAGCAGCCGCGGUAAUACGAAGGUCCCAAGCGUUGUUCGGAAUCACUGGGCGUAAAGGGUGCGUAGGCGGCGUGGUAAGUCAGAUGUGAAAUCCCGGGGCUCAACCUAGGAACUGCAUCCGAUACUGCCAUGCUUGAGGGCUGGAGAGGUAACUGGAAUUCUCGGUGUAGCAGUGAAAUGCGUAGAUAUCGAGAGGAAUACCAAAGGCGUAGGCAGGUCACUGGACAGUUACUGACACUGAGGCACGAAGGCCAGGGGAGCGAACGGGAUUAGAAACCCGGGUAGUCC
Molecule: ribosomal RNA, 449 nt
Filed under: uncultured bacterium
Lineage: Bacteria
Description: partial 16S ribosomal RNA
Rfam family: Bacterial small subunit ribosomal RNA
Source: RNAcentral